UGGGCCGCAACUGACGCUGAGGAGCGAAAGCAUGGGGAGCGAACAGGAUUAGAUACCCUGGUAGUCCAUGCCGUAAACGUUGGGCGCUAGGUGUGGGGCCCUUUCCACGGGUUCCGCGCCGCAGCUAACGCAUUAAGCGCCCCGCCUGGGGAGUACGGCCGCAAGGCUAAAACUCAAAGGAAUUGACGGGGGCCCGCACAAGCGGCGGAGCAUGCGGAUUAAUUCGAUGCAACGCGAAGAACCUUACCAAGGCUUGACAUAUACCGAAAACUGUUGGAGACAGCAGGUCCGCAAGGGCGGUAUACAGGUGGUGCAUGGUUGUCGUCAGCUCGUGUCGUGAGAUGUUGGGUUAAGUCCCGCAACGAGCGCAACCCUUGUCCUAUGUUGCCAGCGGUUCGGCCGGGGACUCAUAGGAAACUGCCGGGGUCAACUCGGAGGAAGGUGGGGAUGACGUCAAAUCAUCAUGCCCCUUAUGUCUUGGGCUUCACGCAUGCUACAAUGGCCGGUACAAUGGGCUGCGAUACCGUGAGGUGGAGCGAAUCCCAAAAAGCCGGUCUCAGUUCGGAUCGGGGUCUGCAACUCGACCCCGUGAAGUCGGAGUCGCUAGUAAUCGCAGAUCAGCAACGCUGCGGUGAAUACGUUCCCGGGCCUUGCACUCACCGCCCGUC
Molecule: ribosomal RNA, 668 nt
Filed under: uncultured bacterium
Lineage: Bacteria
Description: bacterial SSU rRNA
Rfam family: Bacterial small subunit ribosomal RNA
Source: RNAcentral